This 229-nucleotide long non-coding RNA is filed under the name Gossypium barbadense (sea-island cotton). Its description in RNAcentral is "long non-coding RNA (GBAR_LNC002490)". Lineage: Eukaryota; Viridiplantae; Streptophyta; Magnoliopsida; Malvales; Malvaceae. The record is from RNAcentral.
UUCGAUGAAAAGUAGCCGGAACCGAAUGUUCUUUCUUCUUUUGGGUUGUUUUUGUGAAGAUUUCAGAAAUUUUGGGAUCGGAUUUAGGUUUAGGAGGGGCGAAAUAGAAAAAAUAGCUUUCUUGGGUUUUUCUGGCCACCGCGAGCGGCAGCGCCAUCGCUAGUGACCGGUGGCCGGCUCGACAGCCGAUAGCCAGGCCCCUGGCCGGAGCGAGGGCUAAGAGAGAGAG